AGCAGCCGCGGUAAUUCCAGCUCCAAUAGCGUAUAUUAAAGUUGUUGCAGUUAAAAAGCUCGUAGUUGAAUUUCGGAAUCUGUCCGUCGGUCGGGCUUCACUGUCCGUACUGGUGUGGUGGGUUCUUACCUUCUGAAUAACCAGCAUGCCAUUCAUUUGGUGCGCUGGGGAAGCAGGACUAUUACCUUGAAAAAUUAGAGUGCUCAAAGCAGGCUAGUGCCUGAAUACAUUAGCAUGGAAUAAUAAAAUAGGACGGCAUGGUUCUAUUUUGUUGGUUUCUAGGAUCACCGUAAUGAUUAAUAGGGAUAGUUGGGGGCAUUAGUAUUCAAUUGUCAGAGGUGAAAUUCUUGGAUUUAUUGAAGACUAACUUCUGCGAAAGCAUUUGCCAAGGAUGUUUUCAUUAAUCAAGAACGAAAGUUAGGGGAUCGAAGGCGAUCAGAUACCGUCGUAGUCUUAACCAUAAACUAUGCCGAC
RNAcentral lists this ribosomal RNA (474 nucleotides) under uncultured Acaulospora. RNAcentral's name for it is "SSU rRNA". It matches the Rfam family "Eukaryotic small subunit ribosomal RNA", at positions 569 to 1046 of the family's 1831-position model. The record is from RNAcentral. Lineage: Eukaryota; Fungi; Glomeromycota; Glomeromycetes; Diversisporales; Acaulosporaceae.